Long non-coding RNA from Brassica napus (rape), 3812 nucleotides. RefSeq lists it as uncharacterized. The record is from RefSeq and is a predicted model, not a curated record. NCBI's taxonomy places the organism in Eukaryota, Viridiplantae, Streptophyta, Magnoliopsida, Brassicales, Brassicaceae. The transcript has 5 exons.
AAUCAUUGAGAAGCUUUUGCUUAAAGAUCCAAGUGUGAGAUUGAUCCUCUUUUAAAUCCCAGAAGGAUGAGUCUUUUAUUACGUUGUUUUGGAUCCAUGCUAUCCAUAUUGACUCUGGUUUGAAGAAAAGCGUCCAAAGGAGCUGGAGGAGACAUGUUCUGUUCCAGACUCAAAUAUUUUUGAGGCCUAACCCACCUUCUGAUUUAGGACUAGUAACAGAGUCUCAGGCUACUCUAGCAUUGUAUCUACCAUCCAGUGAUCCCUUCCAAAGGAGAGGCUCACAAUUGAGUAGGAAAAGUUUCUUUGUGUUUAGAGGGAGACCCAAAUAUCUUAUGGGGAGGAAACCUUGAGCAAUACGUGAGGAGGUGAUAAGGACAGAAGUUUCAUCAAUAUUGAGACCAGCUGAGAAGAAACAAGAUUUUCCACGCUUAUUGCAAGGCCUGAGAUCGCUUGGAACUCUGAGAGAACCGUCAGGAUCCCUUGAAUUGAUGGCAAUGAUUCGUUGGUGAAGAUAAGGAUAUCAUCCGCAAAGCACAAAUGCAACGUUCAUUGCCAGACCAAAGAUAUAUGGACUGAGCGGAUCACCCUGACGGAUGCCACGAGUACCUCGAAAGAAACCAUGGAGGGAUCCAUAAAUGCCCACUGAGUAUGCGGUGGAAGUGAGACACUCCUUUAUUUGUGCAACGAAAGAGUGAGGCAUGUUCAAAGAGUUCAAGCAAGCUAUUAUGAAAUCCCACUUUAUGGAAUCAAAUGCCUUGGCAAUAUCCACCUUCAAGAUAAGUCUCUUUGGCCCUAUGUUUUUUUGGUCUCCACUGAUUAUUUCGGAUGAUAGUAGGCAAUUCUCCAUAAGUAAUCUGCCCUUGAUGAAAGCUGACUGGUUAGGUAAAAUGAUUGCUGGGAUAAUCGGUUUUAGACGACUCACUAGCAUUUUGGCUAUCCCUUUAUAUAGUGUAUUGCAACAUGAUAUUGGCCUAUAAUCCUUGAUUAUAGUUGCUCCUGGGAAUUUAGGAAUGAGGGUGAGAAUAGCCGAAUUUGUAGCUGUUGGCAUAGAGGUUUCUUUAAAAAAAUUCAGAAUGGUCGUAGUAACCUCAUUCCCAAUUACUGUCCAUGAACAGCUGUAGAAUCUUGAAGUAAAACCAUCUGGUAAUGGGCUUUUAUUAGGAUUUAGCUUGAAUAGCGUUCUCAUAAUUUCAUCUGUUGUUGGCAGGACAUAAAGAGACGAUCUUUCAAGGUCAGAACAACUGAAUGGAGAUAAAGCUUGGACAGAUUCUAGGAGACCAGGCACAAUCAGGGAGAGCGGAGGACUAAGAAUAAGCCUGAAGUGAUGCACUGCUAAGAAACAUACAGCUUUAGGGGAAGUUAUAGUGAUGUCGUUGAGGUCAGUGAGAGCAUGGAUUGCAUUGUAAAAACUCCUAGUGACUGAGACUUUGAAGAAGUAGCUUGUGUUUUGAUUGCCCAGAUUAAGCCACUGGAUUCGAGAUUUCUGAUGGAAAUACACAUCCUCAACCUUUUCAGCAUAUUCAGUUUCUCUUUACACAACUUUUCUUCAAAAGAAGUCGCUUCAGUGGGGUUUGAGAAGGAGAUAACUUGAAGGACCUUCAGAUGUUCCAUAGUUUCACCAACUCGUUUUUGUAUCCAUGAGAAAUUAUCUUUGUUGAGACUUCUCAAGGUUUGUUUUAGCACCUUCUGCAUUUUGCUGAGGCGAGAUAAAGACCAGCCAGCUGGGUCAGAAGAUUCCCAUCCAGAGAUGACCGAGUGCAGUAAGCCUGGAUGACUCGUUAGAUAGUUGAAGAACUUAAACGGCUUCGAGCCAGCAAUAGGCAAGGCACAGUUUAAGUUCACAAGCCCUGGAGAAUGAUCAAAGAAGUCUGUUGCAAGAAAGUGAGCUAGACUUGCCGGAAAAGAAAGAAUCCAAGAUUCAUUUGAGAGGAUUUUGUCCAGCUUCUUAGCAGUGGGGGCCAAAGGCCGCUUGUUAGACCAUGUAAAGAUGGGACCAUGGUAUCGAAGAUCCCGGAUUUAAAGAUCAUCCAAGCAUUGUCUAAAUUCGAUCACGGGAGGAUAAAUGCCAUCGAAGGCUGGAGAUGAAUUCUCUGCGUGGUGGAUGAUUUCAUUAAAGUCACCCCCAAAAAUCCAAGGCAAGGCAAGGAGUGAAGCGAGUGCCCAUUUAGCAUGUGCCCAUUUAGCAUGAGGGCAUCUUGCUUCUAAAUGACAGAGUUGCUUGCAGCAAGUGCAAGAAGGAGGAACCCAAGGAUAAGUUACCGAUAUUGGUAUAAUUGAGCCAUCAUCCCUGAGCAGCUCAACCAGUGGAGGGAGAGGCUUUGUGCAGUAUGCACGCACUUUAAGAUGGGCUACGUCCAAGCUGAUCAUACGAAUAGUAAAUUCAUUUGCUUCUACUGGUGUCCUAUCAAACCAGCCACAAGGCUGAGCCCUUCUCUGGUAUAGAGAUCAAAAGGAACACCUCUUACAUGAGCCCAUAGGGGAAUAGAGUCCAUGGUAGGAGGAGAGAUGGCCAGAUCAGCACUCUAUUAAGCAACGUAGAACAUAGAUGAUCUAAUGUGCCUUAUUUCAUGUUCUACUAUUCUGGCUCAAAGGUCAAAAGAAAGGAUCUUGACCAAUUUACCACAAUAACAAUAUUGGAUAGAGGCAUACAAACUUUUAUUUGUUGAUUUCAUGUGGGUCAGUUGACCCCCAUGCCUCCAACGUGGCUCCGCCACUGGAUGCACUGAUGGUGGACAUGCCUUUGAUACUUGUUGUCUCGAAAUUGAAGUCAAAGGCUGAUGAUAUGCUUCAGAAGUUUGAUAAGUAUUGGGCUGGUAUGAAGAACAUCAAUAAGAUGUUGAUUGUAGCAACGGUAUUUGAUCCUAGGAAAAAUAUGCAGUUUGCAAAAAUGUGUUUUGAGAAGCUCUAUGGGAAAGAGAGUUCAGAUGCUAAGGAGAUGUAUCAGUCUCUGGUUGAUGUUUUGCGCUUCAUGUUUAAGGAGUACAGUGCAAGGUUUGACAGAGGUGAAGCAUUUCAAGCGUCUCAAACCACUCCAGCUGCAUCUUUUGGUAGCCAAGAAGCCUCUUUCGAAAGAAUCAAUUUGAUCAACAAUGAGAUCGGGUAUGAAAGGAUGGAUUUCAUGUAUGAGGAGUUGGUUGGAGAAAUCGAAGAUCGAGAAUCUAAGGGUGAGUUGGAUACUUAUCUAAGGGGGAGUGUUGUCAAUCCGAGAACCAUGCUUGGAGUUGAGUAUGAUGUUUUGUCUUGGUGGAAGUUCAAUGCCAAAGUUCCCGGUUCUUGCAGAAAUUGCAAAAGAUGUACUUGCAAUGCAAGUCUCGUCAGUUGCUUCUGAGAGUGCUUUUAGCACUUCUGGUCGUAUCAUUGAUUCAUACAGGAGCUGUCUCACUCAUUACAUGGUCGAAGUAUUGAUGUGCUCAGAGCAAUGGCUAAAGGCAGACAUUCGAUGUGGUGAUGCAAGGCUGGUGACAAUGGAAUAGAUUCUCAGUGACUUUGAAUAUGAAGACAAGCUUAAGAAAGAGUAUGAUAAUCUGAGCUUGCAAGAAGACUAAGAAAGUGUGCACUGUGUGGUCCCUGUGUCUUCGGUUUCAAGGAUAUUUUCGGAGUGUGGUGAAGUUUUUUCUGGUCAAGUUUGGAUGGUGAAGUUCUUUCUGCUGAAGUUUGGAUGGUGAAGGCUUUUGUUUUUUCUAGGUUCGGUCUGAGUCUGAGACAUUAGUUCUCUGUGUUUCUUUGUUUUUUUUAUGUCAUUGUUGAACACAAUUUUUCUCUGAAUGUUGUUGUUCUCAAUUUAUAUUAUCGGAAAUGGAAUGUUGUUUGUU